Molecule: ribosomal RNA, 253 nt
Filed under: uncultured bacterium
Lineage: Bacteria
Description: partial 16S ribosomal RNA
Rfam family: Bacterial small subunit ribosomal RNA
Source: RNAcentral
GACAGAGGCCUCAAGCGUUAGGCGGAAUCACUGGGCUUAAAGCGUGUGUAGGCGGAUCGUUAAGUGCCUUGUGAAAUCCCACGGCUUAACUGUGGAACGGCUGGGCAUACUGGCGGUCUUGAGCCAUCUAGGGGCGACUGGAACAAACGGUGGAGCGGUGAAAUGCGUAGAUAUCAAGAGGAAUACCUGAGGUGAAGACGGGUUGCUAGGCCGACACUGACGCUGAAGCGCGAAAGCCAGGGGAGCAAACGGG